AAAAAAAAAAAGAAAUAGAAAAAGUCGGGAACCUGGCAAGCUGCCUAACUGCUCUGUGCGUCGGUGUCCUCACCUGUGAUGCGGGGACAAAGCUGAAGAAGCCAGCAACCUGAAAACACCAAUGGGCACAGACAGAAGAACCUGCUCGCUCCAGCCAGAGACGUAUGAGGACUUGUAGGAAGUACUACCAAGGAAGUACUACUUAGAAGACUGUACCAUUGCUCUUCUCUAAGGCUUGCAUUGUGUCA
RNAcentral lists this long non-coding RNA (248 nucleotides) under Homo sapiens (human). Its description in RNAcentral is "HSALNT0362189". The record is from RNAcentral. Lineage: Eukaryota; Metazoa; Chordata; Mammalia; Primates; Hominidae.